Molecule: ribosomal RNA, 253 nt
Filed under: uncultured bacterium
Lineage: Bacteria
Description: partial 16S ribosomal RNA
Rfam family: Bacterial small subunit ribosomal RNA
Source: RNAcentral
GACGUAGGAGGCGAGCGUUGUCCGGAUUCAUUGGGCGUAAAGAGCACGCAGGCGGUUUGGCAAGUCGGAUGUGAAAGUCGGGGGCUCAACCCUCGAAAGCCGGUGGAUACUGUCGGGCUAGAGUACGGAAGAGGCGAGUGGAAUUCCUGGUGUAGCGGUGAAAUGCGCAGAUAUCAGGAGGAACACCAAUUGCGAAGGCAGCUCGCUGGGACGUUACUGACGCUGAGACGCGAAAGCGUGGGGAGCAAACAGG